This 1147-nucleotide long non-coding RNA is filed under the name Heterocephalus glaber (naked mole-rat). RNAcentral describes it as "lncRNA (ENSHGLG00100046162.1)". Lineage: Eukaryota; Metazoa; Chordata; Mammalia; Rodentia; Bathyergidae. The record is from RNAcentral.
GCCCCAGACCACUCCCCAAUUCCCACUCCUAGCCCCGCGCCCGCCCUCCGACCCCGCCCCGGGGUCCACCCAUCCCUGUCCCCUGACCUCAGGUCCCGCCCCCCCGGCGCUAGUGGCCGGGCCAUAGGCGCGAGUCUCAGUCUGCGCCUCCGCUUUGAGCCCAGUUGAGCGCUCCCGGCGGUUUCCAGGGCACCUCCCCACCCCUCCUCUGAUCGCCAAGGCCUGGCCCGUGCGUGUGCUCACACCCCGGGGCGCAGUGCUAGGCUUUACAAAGAAGGCCUGGACCCCCUCCGCGGCUCAACCUCCCAAAUCUGGGGGCCUUCUUGAGCGUUAGGCCCGGCCAGGGAAGCAGGGGCAGCCGCAGGACGGGAGGGGCGAGGCUUCCAGCAGAGGCUGCGGGGUCGAGGCCUGGGCGGCAGAGAUGGGGAGAUAAAGUCAGAUAUCGCUAGAAGUUCUUUGAAAUCAUGAAGAAGUUUCUUCUUAUACAAGAGCAAAGCAAGAAGAAAUGGGAAGUUUGGGACGGGGCUAGAGCUGCAAGAGGAGGCUGAGAAGCAAGAGAAUCUGUGACAGUACCAGGGCUCCAGGGGCGUUGGGAUCCAGAGCGCAGCUGUCAGCGCCCACUCCCGGCUGGGCGUGCAGGCAGUGGGGUCGGCCUCGCGCCCCGCCUUCCCGCCCAGGGCCCCCAGGGCCGUCCCGCAGUGUGGACCCCGCUCGACCGCGGGCGCUGUGUGGCCCACGUGCGCGGGCCCCGCAGGUAGGGAGAGCGCGGCCCGGGAGCGCGCGGGACCCGGAGGAGGGCGCGGGGGGAGCGGAGGGAGGGGAUUCCUUUGUUUGCAGCCGCAGCCCCGGGCCUGGCCCCCUCCCCUCCCCUCCCCAAGCCCCUUUGCGCUCGGACCCUGAGCGGCGCGGGCCCGGAGCCCUGACCCCCAAGGUGAAGGCGGAGCCGGCCGCGGUGGUGGCCUGGGCUCCAGCGUCCUGGGCCCUGCAGGGUGGAGGUGCAGCCUGUGGACCCCGCGGACGGCCCUCCCCCUCCUCCCCCUGCCCCGGGCUCCGCGCUGCUCCGCCCUCCGUGCAGCGCGGCCUGCCCGGCUCAUUCAUUCCGCGCACCCCGGGGCCGGCCGGGGAGGCGGAGAGCGGAGGGGUUGGG